UACGAAGGGGGCUAGCGUUGCUCGGAAUUACUGGGCGUAAAGGGCGCGUAGGCGGUGCCACAAGUCACCUGUGAAAUCCCUCGGCUUAACCGGGGAACUGCGUCCGAUACUGGAUGGCUUGAGUUCGGGAGAGGGAUGCGGAAUUCCAGGUGUAGCGGUGAAAUGCGUAGAUAUCUGGAGGAACACCGGUGGCGAAGGCGGCAUCCUGGACCGAUACUGACGCUGAGGAGCGAAAGCCAGGGGAGCAAACGGG
RNAcentral lists this ribosomal RNA (253 nucleotides) under uncultured bacterium. RNAcentral describes it as "partial 16S ribosomal RNA". It matches the Rfam family "Bacterial small subunit ribosomal RNA", at positions 524 to 776 of the family's 1533-position model. The record is from RNAcentral.